AACACAUGCAAGUCGAGGGGCAACGGAAGUAGCUUGCUACUAGACGACGACCGGCGCACGGGUGAGUAACGCGUAUGUAAUCUGCCUUGUACAGAGGGAUAGCCCAGAGAAAUUUGGAUUAAUACCUCAUAGUAUUACCGAAUCGCAUGAUUUGGUAAUUAAAGCUCCGGCGGUACAAGAUGAACAUGCGUGACAUUAGCUAGUUGGUAAGGUAACGGCUUACCAAGGCUACGAUGUCUAGGGGUUCUGAGAGGAUGAUCCCCCACACUGGUACUGAGACACGGACCAGACUCCUACGGGAGGCAGCAGUGAGGAAUAUUGGUCAAUGGACGCAAGUCUGAACCAGCCAUCCCGCGUGAAGGAUGACUGCCCUAUGGGUUGUAAACUUCUUUUAUAUGCAAAUAAACCUACUUUCGUGAAAGUAGCUGAAG
Molecule: ribosomal RNA, 431 nt
Filed under: uncultured bacterium
Lineage: Bacteria
Description: bacterial SSU rRNA
Rfam family: Bacterial small subunit ribosomal RNA
Source: RNAcentral